GAGAGACAGAGGCAGAAAUGAGGAGGGAGAAACAGCAGAUGGCCAUGACAAAAACAACAUAGAUACCUGCUAUCACACUCACAGACUUUCAGCUUCAUUUAUCAGAUUUUAAACUCAGGGAUUCUGUGAUUCUUGAAAAAUACCACCAUCUUUUGGACAUUUAUCGCACUUUAAAUGAAGAAGCAAUGUCUGCUGUAACGUCUGCAUCUCUCUGCCUGACUUUACUGUCUGUCUGCCUCUUGUUUGUCUCUGCAGACCAGAAAAUCAUCAUAGCUGUGCCGGGACAGACGGUCACUCUGCCAUGUCGAGCUCCAAACAGCGGCAACCCCAUCAUAGCUGCAGAGUGGAGCAGAGCUGACCUGGAGCAAGAAUAUGUCCUUUUUUACCGGGACGAUAAGCUUGAUACAGAAGAGCAGCAUCCGUCUUUUAAGAACCGGGUGGAUCUGCAGGACAGACAGAUGAAGGAUGGAGACAUGUCUCUGAUUCUGAAGGAUGUGACGACUGAUGACUCGGGAGCAUACGAGUGUUACGUGGUCCAGAGAGGAGCGAACCGCAGGAAGAGAGCCAGUCUGGAUAGUGACCCCAUCAGCACCACCUACCUGACUGUUGUUCCUCCAAGCCAGAAAAACAUCACAGCUGAGUCUGGACAGAACGUCACUCUGACAUGUCGAGCGCCAAACACUGUCCUCAUACCAGGUGUAGAGUGGAGCAGACGUGACUUGAAGGCACAAUAUGUGCUUUGGUACUGGGAAAAACAAUUUGUUCCAUAUUACCAGCAUCCAUCUUUUAAGAACCGGGUGGAUCUGCAGGACAGACAGAUGAAGGAUGGAGGCGUGUCUUUGAUUCUGAAGGAUGUUACGACUGCUGAUAGGGGAACAUAUGAGUGUUGUGUCGUCCAUGAAGUAAGAGAAGGUAGAAAGUUGGCCAUUUUAAAGACUGAGCCCAUCAGCGUCAUCCACCUAAAGGUUAUUUCACCAGGUCAGCCAGGAGGACACGGAGAGGAUGGAGCUGUUGGACUAACAGUUGUUAUUGUGCUUUCUAUUGCUCUUUUUGCAACUAUAAUAUACUACAUAAAAAUGAUAGAAAAUACAGAAGGAGAAAAAAACAGCACUUCCCAGACGAGCAGCAAGCUGAAACGCUCCACUCGUGUCACUCGUCCCACCUUUCGUAGCAAAAAGACAGAUGCUUCCAAGACAGAUGUGAGUUCACAGUGACGGGAAUCCAGCAGACAGUAGUCAGCUGUAAAUGUCUAACUUAUCUUGAGUUUGUUUUUUCCAUCUUUGGAGUUUUUCUGGUUCGGAUUGGUGGCGUUUGGGAGUGGAUACGUCUAGUCUGCAAAUAGUUAGAAAUCAACCAUCAUAAUAAUAAGUUAAAAUGACAGUUUUCAUCGUUUUCCUUUGGGGAACACGGAAAUGUCUUUGGAGCGCCUAAAUGUUUUUCUAUGGAGGAAAAGAGUUGUGUUUGUGAAGAUCAUGAGAACAUUUCUGUAGUGAAGUUACCUGUUUUAUCAACUUUCUUCAUCAGUUUUGAUGCAUUUUUUUGUGCCUUUCCCCAGUUUAUAUCGAUUGUGUUAUUUUAUUAUUAAUAAAGUGUGAACAUGUGCUAAUGUUGAGUGUGAUUUCAUAAGUCCUGCUGUGAGGUUUUUGACUGUCUGUGAAGAUGCUGGCUCACAAUGAAAACUACACUCGUCACUCAUUGUAAAAAAAUUAUUUAUUUAGGAUUACUUAUAUAUUAUAUUAUGUGAUAUAUUUAUUACUCUCAUUUCUUUCAGAUCACAAAACCAUGAACAGAAAAAAAACCUGUGAUAAGAACCUGGAUGAAGGGGCAAAGUCAGCACUUUUCAGUUGCAGUGAAAAUAAAACAAAGAAACAAAAAGAAAGAAAAUUGAAAAAAAGAAAAACCCACCAAUGAUAAAAUCUACCUCUGUUACCUUUCUGGCACUUAGGCAGUUAGACAUUCUUUAGAUUCCUACAGUUUACAAUCUUGAGAUCAAGGUUUAAAGCAGAAAAAAAUGAUGCAAGUAUUUCCAUCACAGUCGGAUUAAAAUCUGUUCACUGUAAAAAAAAAAAAAAAAAAGUAAGUAUUUGGGGAGGUGAACCUGAACCACUAGGUCAGUUCUGAUAGAUCAGAGAGUUACUGGAUCUUAUCUGACAUCUGUUUCUGCCUGGUUACAGUUGAUGAGUAAGAGACAAAGAAAGGUGUUUUGCCGUUUUUUUUUGUCAAACUUGUUUUGUGGACUCCCGCAUGAAAAUACUGCUUAAAACAAUUAAAGGAGCACUUUAAAAAUAGAUCAGACGUCAAAGCUCAUGCUAGACAGGUAUAUGAUAUGGAGUGGGUAGCGUGUUAAAAGGGAUGCCACAUAGUUUCAUGGAAAUGAAACUUAUCUAGUAGACUGAACUUAAAGAAACAUCAAACAUCAAGGUGAAAGGAUUAUGUGGAAGGCUGGUCCAUUUUUCAGUAACUCAUACUGGUGCUCAGUUUGGAUGGCUCCCAUGUGCUUGUAUGUCUACCUGACAACAUCAGGUCAUGCUAAUGAUGGAUGGUGUCUCCUCCGAGACCUGGAAUAAGGCAUCACUGAGCUCCUCGACCAUCUGAGGUGGACCGAAAAUUUAAUGUCACCAAGGUGUUCAAUUGGAUUUUGAACCGGUCAGUGGCAUCAAUUUCUUCAGCCUUCAGGAACUGCCUGCAUACUCUUGCCACAUAGCACUGGGAAUUAUUGUGCACCAGGAGGAACCCAGGAUCCAGGAUAUGCCAGACCAUCACUGACCAACAACCAACUGCCAACCUGUGUAGGGUCCAGGUAUAGACUCGUGCUACCAGCAAUGACACUGACCCCAGCCAAAUGAAAAACUAGUAAAAAAAAAUCAGAAAAGAUGAGGGGGGUUGAGUUGCCUGAUUGUUGCUAAACUCUGAUUUAAAAAAAGACUGUAUCCGUUUUUAAAGUUUAGUAUUUUCCCAUCUGUCCAUGAAAUGUUAAGUGGUGAAAAAGAAAAAAGAAAUUCUUUGUGGCACAAUAUUAUCAGGAUCAAUAAAAAUAAAAUAUGCA
Molecule: long non-coding RNA, 3046 nt
Organism: Astatotilapia calliptera (eastern happy)
Lineage: Eukaryota; Metazoa; Chordata; Actinopteri; Cichliformes; Cichlidae
Source: Ensembl